This 68-nucleotide transfer RNA is filed under the name Hydrodamalis gigas (Steller's sea cow). Its description in RNAcentral is "tRNA-Val". It matches the Rfam family "tRNA". Rfam says of the family: Transfer RNA (tRNA) molecules are approximately 80 nucleotides in length. Their secondary structure includes four short double-helical elements and three loops (D, anti-codon, and T loops). Lineage: Eukaryota; Metazoa; Chordata; Mammalia; Sirenia; Dugongidae. The record is from RNAcentral.
CAAAGUGUAGCUUAACAUAAAGCGUCUGGCCUACACCCAGAAGAUUUCAUACACAUUGACCACUUUGA